GUACAUGAUACUGUGGUAAUUCUAGAGCUAAUACAUGCCACGAAGAGACGACCUUACGGAAGGCGUGCAUUUAUUAGGAUCAAGACCAACACGGGCUUGCCCGGCAUUGUUGGUGAACUCUGGAUAACUUCGCAGAUCGCAUUGUCAUCGAACAGGCGACAUUUCUUUCAAACGUCUGACCUAUCAAUUUUCGAUGGUACGAUAUGCGCCUACCAUGGUGCUAACGGGUGACGGGGAAUCAGGGUUCGAUUCCGGAGAGGGAGCCUGAGAAAUGGCUACCACAUCCAAGGAAGGCAGCAGGCGCGCAAAUUACCCACUCUCGACACGAGGAGGUAGUGACGAAAAAUAACAAUACAGGACCUUUACGAGGCCCUGUAAUUGGAAUGAGUACACUUUAAAUCCUUUAACGAGGAUCUACUGGAGGGCAAGUCUGGUGCCAGCAGCCGCGGUAAUUCCAGCUCCAGUGGCGUAUAUUAAUACUGCUGCAGUUAAAAAGCUCGUAGUUGGAUCUAGGGCGUAGGCUGAGGGUCCCUCGCAAGGGGUGUACCUCUCUGACCUGGCCUCCCUCGCGGUUUGCGCUCGGUUCUCUUAAUUGAGUGUCGGGUGCUACCGGAACGUUUACUUUGAAAAAAUUGGAGUGUUCAAAGCAGGCGCAACAGCCUGAACAGCAGAGCAUGGAAUAAUGGAAUAGGACCUCGGUUCUAUUGCGUUGGUUUUAAGAGUUACGAGGUAAUGAUUAAGAGGGACUGACGGGGGCAUUCGUAUUGCGGUGUGAGAGGUGAAAUUCUAGGAUCGCCGCAAGACGACCGACAGCGAAAGCAUUUGCCAAGAAUGUCUUCAUUAAUCAAGAACGAAAGUUAGAGGUUCGAAGGCGAUCAGAUACCGCCCUAGUUCUAACCAUACCCUUCCGACCGGCGAUUCGCCGGCGUUACUCCAAUGACACGGCAGGCAG
Molecule: ribosomal RNA, 952 nt
Filed under: Sthenocephalus anopla
Lineage: Eukaryota; Metazoa; Echinodermata; Ophiuroidea; Euryalida; Euryalidae
Description: SSU rRNA
Rfam family: Eukaryotic small subunit ribosomal RNA
Source: RNAcentral